This 786-nucleotide long non-coding RNA is filed under the name Prunus persica (peach). RNAcentral's name for it is "long non-coding RNA (PPER_LNC000196)". Lineage: Eukaryota; Viridiplantae; Streptophyta; Magnoliopsida; Rosales; Rosaceae. The record is from RNAcentral.
UGGAAUUUUGGUGUGGUGCUUAUGAGGAUUGAGUGUGGGGAGAGAGAAUCAGAAGAGAAGAGGCUCCCCUUGGUGUUUAAAGAUUGGUCAUCACUUUGGCAAGCAUGAAAGGCUGGGGAAAUUUGGUACUUCUUGGGCUUAUUGGUCCACUUGGAGACUUGGGUUUGUUGCUUCUUGGGGUUUCGAAGGGGAUUUCUUGCUCAGAAUUCCAUGUUCAAAUCAGUAUGAAUCAAAGAGGCUGAGAAGGUCUUCUUCUGCAGCCCCUUUUUUUUUCUUUUUUUUUUGAAAAAAAAAGGGUAUAGCCGACCGGCUAUACUCUUAAUAUUAUUGAAGGCAUACCGCCGCUCGGCUACACCUUUUAAAUAUAUUUUUUAGGGAGUAUAGCCGCCCGGCUAUACUAUUUAUAAAAUAAAAUAAAAAGGAACCGCCUAGCCCGCCUAGGAGGCCGAUUUUUGGAAAACCUGAAUGGCGUUUGUUUUUUUUUUUUUUUUUUUUUUCAAAUUUCUUUUUUUCCUGGCGAGUCUGGCAUCUCUGCAAAUGCAUCAAGCUUGGGUUUUAGCGACUCACGUUUAUAAACAACGUAAAGGCGUCUCUGAAAAUCAGUAUUUUCCAUUCUCUGUUUUGGUUUAUGUUAUGUUUGGUUGCUAGGAAGCUGAUGAUGAACAAAUAUUCUUUUACCUAAAUAUUCAGUUUCAUGUUUCCUUUGUUGUAUUGAUUAGUUUAGUUACAAACUGAGUUGGUCUGGUUAACUGACCCAAAAGGAGUAUGCUGCUUUCUGGGGCUCCA